Molecule: ribosomal RNA, 535 nt
Filed under: uncultured fungus
Lineage: Eukaryota; Fungi
Description: eukaryotic LSU rRNA
Rfam family: 5.8S ribosomal RNA (bases 242-396)
Source: RNAcentral
AUGUUUAGCUGUUUGAUCGAAUCAUGGUGGGUAUGCACUUUUGUGUAUACGAAUCGAUUGAACUUGAGCUUCGAGCUCGCGGCUUUACUGUUUACUAGGCUUUCUUUUUCCAUCAUACCUUUCUACCUUAAGGUUUGGUGGGAAUACAUAACAAACCUAUUUCACCCUAACUAUCAACAUUUGACUAAUACUAUUCACUUGGAGAAAUCCAAGCCUGAAUUGAGUUAUCUUAACUAAGCACAACUCUUAGCAAUGGAUAUCUUGGUUCUCGCAACGAUGAAGAACGCAGCGAAAUGCGAUAUGUAAUGCGAAUUGCAGAAUUCAGUGAAUCAUCAAAUCUUUGAACGCAAAUGGCGCUCUCGGGAUAGUCCUGGGAGCACACCUCUCUGAGUAUCGGUUCAAACUCAACUCUUCAGCGUGCUUGCAUGCAACGAAGGAUAAUGAGAGUCUUAGCUUGAUCUAAAGCUAAGUCUCUUUAAAUAUGUUGAGCUUUAGAUCUCCUAGUAACUCAGUCGAUUCCUCGAUUGAUAGCCUC